UAUCCGUUUUUAGAUGAUAACCCUUUCUAAAGCUUAUGGCCAUAAAUUUUAAUCUUCAUCUAGUCCGAAUAUUAUGGAUAUUAAAAUCAAUGAAACAAACGCAACAUAAUGUUACGCUUUUGGCGCGUCAUAUAAUCGAUAAAAAUCAUUUGAACGGAGGACUAUACCGCUUUAAACGGAAUGGCAAUUUUAAAUACUCUGGAACGAUUACGCCAACUGUAAAUUUCAUAGUAAUAAAUAUUAUAUAAUGUAGGCAAACACCGAUUUAACUCAACAAAUCGGGCAAAUACUUAUUUACGGCUGAAUAGUACAAUGUAUGCCUGGGAAACGUUGUUUGCGAAUCGAUUCUAUGAGGAGAAUCUGUUCAUAUUUGAGAAGGUGUCGAGAAAAAUAAAUAUAUAAAGACCCGCCUGAAAUAAAAUCACCGUAAAAAAAUAAAUAUUUUUUCAAAUAUAUUGACAAAAUAAGUUGCCAUUUGAAAAUUAAAGCUGAUACUUAUUUAUGAUAGUGUCGGGUAGAUAGAGGAGAUGGAAGAGAUAGAAAUACGAUUUUUUUUUUUUUUUUUUUUUUAAACAGUAUUAAAAUAAGUCAUUUUGUUUAAAAUUCUUCGAGAAAAUCGCUGGAUUAUGAUAAAAAUAAAAAAAAAACACCCGCACAUAUUACUUAGUUAUUUAAAACAUUAUCGAUUAUGCGACUAAAAUGAUUAUUAAAUGUUUUU
Cinara cedri is the source of this 718-nucleotide non-coding RNA. NCBI's taxonomy places the organism in Eukaryota, Metazoa, Arthropoda, Insecta, Hemiptera, Aphididae. The record is from the annotation of a GenBank genome assembly.